UACAGAGGGUGCAAGCGUUAAUCGGAAUUACUGGGCGUAAAGCGCGCGUAGGUGGUUUGUUAAGUUGGAUGUGAAAUCCCCGGGCUCAACCUGGGAACUGCAUCCAAAACUGGCAAGCUAGAGUAUGGUAGAGGGUGGUGGAAUUUCCUGUGUAGCGGUGAAAUGCGUAGAUAUAGGAAGGAACACCAGUGGCGAAGGCGACCACCUGGACCAGCACUGACACUGAGGCACGAAAGCGUGGGGAGCAAACAGG
RNAcentral lists this ribosomal RNA (253 nucleotides) under uncultured bacterium. RNAcentral's name for it is "partial 16S ribosomal RNA". It matches the Rfam family "Bacterial small subunit ribosomal RNA", at positions 524 to 776 of the family's 1533-position model. The record is from RNAcentral.